UUACUUGUAGGGUCCCAUAGACGAUAUC
This 28-nucleotide small RNA is filed under the name Bombyx mori (domestic silkworm). RNAcentral's name for it is "ovarian small RNA-9391". The record is from RNAcentral. Lineage: Eukaryota; Metazoa; Arthropoda; Insecta; Lepidoptera; Bombycidae.